AAAAUAUUUGAGAAACAAAAAUGAGCAAGGCGAUUUAGGUCCAAUUAUCCCUACCCAAUUUGAAGACACAACAUUAAACCGCAAAAUCAAACAGAUCUCAUUGGGCAAAUUUCUUCAAUGGCUUCGUCAGGGAAAUCGAUGAUCCAAACCCUAAAACGGUUCAUGAAGAAGCCAUGGGAGUUCACCGGACCUCAAACAAGCCCCGAGUAUUUAGACUCUAUACCCAAGGCAGCGGAGUACAGAAUCUUCUGUCCUGCCACUACCCAAUCUCAGGCCAUCAUCCCCACAUCCGAUCCUGAAACCGUCUUCGAUAUCAAGUAUUAUUCUCGUGACCAGAGGCGUAACCGUCCUCCAAUCAAGCGCACCUUCCUCACCAAAGCUGAUGUUGAGAAGAUGAGGAUGGAGUACAAAUUUGAUGUCAACGAUUUUCCUAAGCCUUAUUUGACUGCUAAGGUUGAAGAGGAUGAAAAUGCUAUUGGUGGUGGCUACCAGAAAUGAAGGUAAUUUUUUGUAACAAUAAUUGGGGGUAGAGGAACAAACCCAGCUACUAAUAUUCCCCGAAAUGAAGGCUUUGUUCUUGUGGCGAAGACUCCACUUGCUGUCAAUAAUGGUAGCUGAUGAUGUUUUGCAGUUUCAGCCAAGUGUAUUGCAAAUGUACUCCCUUUUUUAAAAAUGUUGAGAUAUAAUAUUCUUGGAGUAAUUUCCUUUGGUUUUAGAGUGAAAAGUUUCACCAGUUGAAUAAUUUUCUUCAUUUAGCUUAUGCGGAUUGUUCCAUGUCUUGUGCUUGAAAGAAUGAAAGUUAGUCGAACGUCGCACCUGAUUAGCUAUAGUCUGAUUUUGAUUUCCCAAAGGUAAUUGUGUAGCAGCUUUGUCUGAUAUCAUACCAUGGAGUUGAAUAAGUAAUGAAAUUUCAAUUUUAGGUUUUGGCAA
RNA transcript from Solanum pennellii, 930 nucleotides. RefSeq lists it as uncharacterized. The record is from RefSeq and is a predicted model, not a curated record. The transcript is spliced from 2 exons. Lineage: Eukaryota; Viridiplantae; Streptophyta; Magnoliopsida; Solanales; Solanaceae.